GACAACACAAGUGCUUGGAGACCAGAAGUGCUGCAUUGUAUAAACAUCUGAAGAGCCUGUAUAAUUUCUGGUUGAAGGUUCCACACAGAGAAAGCUCAUAACUGGUCACCAUUAAAUACCACGGUAUCUGGCAUGAGGCACCUCAUGACUGUGAGCCUAAUUCACCUAUUAAGAGGCCUGUUGAACA
Long non-coding RNA from Suricata suricatta (meerkat), 187 nucleotides. RefSeq lists it as uncharacterized. NCBI's taxonomy places the organism in Eukaryota, Metazoa, Chordata, Mammalia, Carnivora, Herpestidae. The transcript is spliced from 3 exons. The record is from RefSeq and is a predicted model, not a curated record.